GGCACUUUGGCGGAGUGGUUAACGCGAUGCCCUGCUACUGUAUAAACAGAGUCAGGCAUUUCCUUCGGGAGCAAGAGUUCGAAUCUCUUAGGUGUCG
This is a transfer RNA of Sclerotinia borealis F-4128, 97 nucleotides long. It matches the Rfam family "tRNA". Rfam says of the family: Transfer RNA (tRNA) molecules are approximately 80 nucleotides in length. Their secondary structure includes four short double-helical elements and three loops (D, anti-codon, and T loops). The record is from Rfam. NCBI's taxonomy places the organism in Eukaryota, Fungi, Ascomycota, Leotiomycetes, Helotiales, Sclerotiniaceae.